GACGAACGCUGGCGGCGUGCUUAACACAUGCAAGUCGAACGGAAAGGCCCUGCCUUUGUGGGGUGCUCGAGUGGCGAACGGGUGAGUAACACGUGAGUAACCUGCCCUUGACUUGGGGAUAACUUCAGGAAACUGGGGCUAAUACCGGAUAGGAGCUCCUGCUGCAUGGUGGGGGUUGGAAAGUUUCGGCGGUUGGGGUUGGACUCGCGGCUUAUCAGCUUGUUGGUGGGGUAGUGGCUUACCAAGGCCUUGACGGGUAGCCGGCCUGAGAGGGUGACCGGCCACAUUGGGACUGAGAUACGGCCCGGACUCCUACGGGAGGCAGCAGUGGGGAAUAUUGCAAAAUGGGCGGAAGCCUGAUGCAGCAACGCCGCGUGCGGGAUGACGGCCUUCGGGUUGUAAACCGCUUUCGCCUGUGACGAAGCGUGAGUGACGGUAAUGGGUAAAGAAGCACCGGCUAACUACGUG
This 468-nucleotide ribosomal RNA is filed under the name uncultured bacterium. RNAcentral's name for it is "partial 16S ribosomal RNA". It matches the Rfam family "Bacterial small subunit ribosomal RNA", at positions 28 to 507 of the family's 1533-position model. The record is from RNAcentral.